ACCCACUCUUUUAAUCCCAAAACCUAAAGACUUAGAUCAAAGAAUUCGAAAUCUAAAUAAGAUUAGCUCUCUUUAGGAACCUGAUGGUUCUGCAAUAAUACGGCCAUAUCGAUUCAACAUAGUCCAGGUACUUCUCCAUCAUCCAUUCUUGAAAAUCUUUCAUCUUUUUUAUACAUACCUCUUUGUGGUCCAAGUUCUUCAUGUCUACCACAGGUUGCCAUACGUGGACUCGUACGUCUUCUUUCAGCUUUCCAUGUGCGAUGUAGUUAUAAGCCAGGAGGUAGUAAGUAGGUAAGUUUCUAAUUAGUUGAACCGUCUGGGUGAAGCAGAAAACAUACAGGGCACAUAAGCCUCUAA
Molecule: long non-coding RNA, 357 nt
Filed under: Gossypium barbadense (sea-island cotton)
Lineage: Eukaryota; Viridiplantae; Streptophyta; Magnoliopsida; Malvales; Malvaceae
Description: long non-coding RNA (GBAR_LNC022102)
Source: RNAcentral